CAAGACUGCAAAAUUGGAACAGGUACUUGAACCUCAUCCUGUUCUUCCAUUUUCAUUUUCUGUUGUACAAAAGAUAAAUGUUAAAAUGGAGAUACUACUGACAUUUUUAAUACAAUUAUAAGCAUUUUAUUUCAAAAAUACGAGAAGGACCUUAAGGGAAACAUGCAAAGACGCUAAUCAUGGAAAAAACGUUCAGAAACAUUGCAUCUAUGAAGUUUCUAUGGGAAAAGAAUUGUACCAUUGCAUG
This 247-nucleotide unclassified non-coding RNA is filed under the name Hevea brasiliensis (rubber tree). Lineage: Eukaryota; Viridiplantae; Streptophyta; Magnoliopsida; Malpighiales; Euphorbiaceae. The record is from RNAcentral.